RNAcentral lists this ribosomal RNA (453 nucleotides) under uncultured Porphyromonadaceae bacterium. Its description in RNAcentral is "partial 16S ribosomal RNA". It matches the Rfam family "Bacterial small subunit ribosomal RNA", at positions 341 to 792 of the family's 1533-position model. Lineage: Bacteria; Pseudomonadati; Bacteroidota; Bacteroidia; Bacteroidales; Porphyromonadaceae. The record is from RNAcentral.
ACGGAAGGCAGCAGUGAGGAAUAUUGGUCAAUGGGCGGAAGCCUGAACCAGCCAAGUCGCGUGAAGGAUGAAGGUUCUAUGGAUUGUAAACUUCUUUUGUUCGAGGGUAAAGUGAGUCACGUGUGGCUUAUUGCAAGUAUCGAGCGAAUAAGCAUCGGCUAACUCCGUGCCAGCAGCCGCGGUAAUACGGAGGAUCCGAGCGUUAUCCGGAUUUAUUGGGUUUAAAGGGUGCGCAGGCGGUCGAUUAAGUCAGUGGUCAAAUCACGGUGCUCAACGCCGUUCCGCCAUUGAUACUGGUUGACUUGAUUCCGGUCGAGGCAGGCGGAAUUCGUAGUGUAGCGGUGAAAUGCAUAGAUAUUACGAAGAACUCCGAUUGCGUAGGCAGCUUACCAGGCCGGCAAUGACGCUCAUGCACGAAAGUGCGGGGAUCGAACAGGAUUAGAUACCCUGGUA